RNAcentral lists this ribosomal RNA (263 nucleotides) under uncultured bacterium. RNAcentral's name for it is "partial 16S ribosomal RNA". It matches the Rfam family "Bacterial small subunit ribosomal RNA", at positions 1229 to 1500 of the family's 1533-position model. The record is from RNAcentral.
AAUGGCAGGUACAGAGGGAUGCUACCGGGCGACCGGAUGCGGAUCUCGAAAGCCUGUCCCAGUUCGGACUGGAGUCUGCAACCCGACUCCACGAAGUUGGAUUCGCUAGUAAUCGCGCAUCAGCCAUGGCGCGGUGAGUACGUUCCCGGGCCUUGUACACACCGCCCGUCAAGCCAUGGGAGCCGGGGGCGCCUGAAGUCCGGGACCGCGAGGACCGGCCUAGGGCGAAACUGGUAACUGGGGCUAAGUCGUAACAAGGUAAC